Molecule: ribosomal RNA, 241 nt
Filed under: uncultured bacterium
Lineage: Bacteria
Description: partial 16S ribosomal RNA
Rfam family: Bacterial small subunit ribosomal RNA
Source: RNAcentral
AUUGAACGCUGGCGGCAGGCCUAACACAUGCAAGUCGAACGGUAGCAGGAAGAAGCUUGCUUCUUUGCUGACGAGUGGCGGACGGGUGAGUAAUGUCUGGGAAACUGCCCGAUGGAGGGGGAUAACUACUGGAAACGGUAGCUAAUACCGCAUAACGUCUUCGGACCAAAGAGGGGGGACCUUCGGGCCUCUUGCCAUCGGAUGUGCCCAGAUGGGAUUAGCUAGUAGGUGGGGUAACGGG